GCUUCGACUGAACAGACGAACUUGAUGAUUGUCCUUUAUCAAAAGGUUUAUUAGUCUUCAAAUCUACCAAUCUAGUUGGCAUUGGUGGAGGAAGCUUUGGAAAUUCUGCCAAAGCUGCAUAUUUGUUUUGAAACGGUAACUGUAGUUUCAGUUUCAGUGUAGGCCUUUGAGGAACUGAUGGUCUUAACGGAUUCAGCAGGGCUGACGGAGUGUCAAAUGGUCUGGCCAUCUUUGUUUGUUCCUGUUUGCUCCUGACUGGGAUUUUCCCUAGUGUAGUGGGUCUCAUUCCGGCCCUGUAAGAAUUCUCUUGUUAGAAAAUCGGGAAGGGAAUUGUUUUCUCCUUUGAUAAAUUCUAUUUGAAAAUCAAAGAUAGAUAGGACAGCUUGCCAUCUAGCAAAUAUUUGUUUAGAAACCAGAUUUUUAACAUCCUUUUGUAAAAUCUCUUUAGC
Molecule: long non-coding RNA, 449 nt
Filed under: Capsicum annuum
Lineage: Eukaryota; Viridiplantae; Streptophyta; Magnoliopsida; Solanales; Solanaceae
Description: long non-coding RNA (CANN_LNC013942)
Source: RNAcentral